This 629-nucleotide ribosomal RNA is filed under the name Microbacteriaceae bacterium Ri3Pt_6434. RNAcentral describes it as "bacterial SSU rRNA". It matches the Rfam family "Bacterial small subunit ribosomal RNA", at positions 388 to 1028 of the family's 1533-position model. The record is from RNAcentral. Lineage: Bacteria; Bacillati; Actinomycetota; Actinomycetes; Micrococcales; Microbacteriaceae.
GCAGCAACGCCGCGUGAGGGACGACGGCCUUCGGGUUGUAAACCUCUUUUAGUAGGGAAGAAGCGAAAGUGACGGUACCUGCAGAAAAAGCACCGGCUAACUACGUGCCAGCAGCCGCGGUAAUACGUAGGGUGCAAGCGUUGUCCGGAAUUAUUGGGCGUAAAGAGCUCGUAGGCGGUUUGUCGCGUCUGCUGUGAAAACUGGAGGCUCAACCUCCAGCCUGCAGUGGGUACGGGCAGACUAGAGUGCGGUAGGGGAGAUUGGAAUUCCUGGUGUAGCGGUGGAAUGCGCAGAUAUCAGGAGGAACACCGAUGGCGAAGGCAGAUCUCUGGGCCGUAACUGACGCUGAGGAGCGAAAGCAUGGGGAGCGAACAGGAUUAGAUACCCUGGUAGUCCAUGCCGUAAACGUUGGGAACUAGAUGUGGGGGCCAUUCCACGGUCUCCGUGUCGCAGCUAACGCAUUAAGUUCCCCGCCUGGGGAGUACGGCCGCAAGGCUAAAACUCAAAGGAAUUGACGGGGGCCCGCACAAGCGGCGGAGCAUGCGGAUUAAUUCGAUGCAACGCGAAGAACCUUACCAAGGCUUGACAUAUACGAGAACGGGCCAGAAAUGGUCAACUCUUUGGACACU